GGAAGGGCAAGCCGACCUGGCGUGACGGCACCCGCCUCGAACGCGGGCGAGCGAUGAGCCUUGUGGGUUCGAGUCCCACCCCUUCCG
This 87-nucleotide transfer RNA is filed under the name Singulisphaera sp. Its description in RNAcentral is "tRNA-Ser". It matches the Rfam family "tRNA". From Rfam's summary of the family: Transfer RNA (tRNA) molecules are approximately 80 nucleotides in length. Their secondary structure includes four short double-helical elements and three loops (D, anti-codon, and T loops). Further hydrogen bonds mediate the characteristic L-shaped molecular structure. tRNAs have two regions of fundamental functional importance: the anti-codon, which is responsible for specific mRNA codon recognition, and the 3' end, to which the tRNAs corresponding amino acid is attached (by aminoacyl-tRNA synthetases). tRNAs cope with the degeneracy of the genetic code in two manners: having more than one tRNA (with a specific anti-codon) for a particular amino acid; and 'wobble' base-pairing, i.e. permitting non-standard base-pairing at the 3rd anti-codon position. RNAcentral also lists the same sequence under 1 other name. The record is from RNAcentral. Lineage: Bacteria; Pseudomonadati; Planctomycetota; Planctomycetia; Isosphaerales; Isosphaeraceae.